GUAGGGAAUAUUGGGCAAUGGAUGCAAGUCUGACCCAGCCAUCCCGCGUGCCGGAAGAAGGCCCUCAGGGUUGUAAACGGCUUUUGACGGUGAAGAAUCGACAGGAUGCGUCCUGUUUUGACGGUAGCCGUUGAAUAAGCACCGGCUAACUCCGUGCCAGCAGCCGCGGUAAUACGGAGGGUGCGAGCGUUGUCCGGAGUUAUUGGGUUUAAAGGGUGCGUAGGCUAGAAGGUCAGUCAGCGGUGAAAAGCUGUCGCUUAACGAUAGUCUAGCCGCAGAUACUUCCUUUCUUGGAUGAGGAGGAGGCCACUGGAACGGAUGGUGUAGCGGGGAAAUGCAUAGAUAUCAUCCAGAACACCGAUUGCGAAGGCAGGUGGCUGUACCUUAAUCGACGCUGAUGCACGAAAGCAUGGGGAGCAAACAGGAUUAGAAACCCCUGUAGUCC
This 445-nucleotide ribosomal RNA is filed under the name uncultured bacterium. Its description in RNAcentral is "partial 16S ribosomal RNA". It matches the Rfam family "Bacterial small subunit ribosomal RNA", at positions 354 to 796 of the family's 1533-position model. The record is from RNAcentral.